CCUAUUUCCGAACCUGGAUCUAUUUGAAUGUGAAUAGCAUCCUCUUCUUCUUCUUCAUUAAUCAAAUUGGGCUAAUUCAUCCUUCAUUAUUUCCAAGUAUAAGUCACCAACUUGUGAAUUGCACUUUUCGUUGAGAAAAGAUAGACUUGCGCAAGACACAGAUUUCAAGGAACAAAAAAUACAAAAGAACAAGGAAAACCUAAAAUUCUGGGAGAUGGUGAUCAAAAAAAUUUUGGGCUCAAAAAUUUGGUUUUUAGAGUGAAUGAUGACAUGGUUUGGCUGAUCGGAGAGGAAUGACUAGUGGAGAUGGUUCAGAUUGGGAGAUAUUUUGAGUUGGUGGGUUAGUUAACAGCAUGGUAUGAAUUUGGUGUUUGUCAGCUGAGAUAAGAUUAAAGGUAGAAGGUAAAGAAGUUUGAGUGGUGGAAAUGGGGUGAGAGCUAGUACCUUUGUUAAAACCUACAAUUAAUAAUUACUUAAGAAAAACAAAGUGCGUAAGUAGUGACUGAAGCGGCAAUGGGAGUGGGCACUUCAGAUGGCACUACAAUAAACAAUAGAAAAACAAUGGACAAGAAUUGUUUACACAGUUCUAUUUUCUCUAAUUCUAUGGAGCGUAGCUUAAUGAGUAAUUUUAUUAUCUCCACUACACCAAAACAGGCUUUUAGCGGUGUUUUUAGCGGCGUUUGGAUAAAAAACUCCGCUAACGAUCGAUCAUUAGCGGCACAUUAUGGAAAAUGCCGCUGAAAAUAAGCAUUAGCGGUGUUUUUGAAAAAGAGCAACAAAAAACCUAAGCCCAACAACGCCGUUUCCCGAGCUUUCGGGGAUUUAGCGGCGUUUCCAAGAAAGCGUCGCAAAAAAAUCUAAGCCCAACGACGCCGUUUUCUGAGCUUUCGGGGAUUUAGCGGCGUUUUUGGGAAAGUGUCGCAAAAAAACCUAAGCCCAACAACGCCGUUUUCUAAGCUUUCGGGGAUUUAGCGGCGUUUUUAAGAAAGCGUCGCUAAUACUCAGGGCUUUAGCGGCGCUUUUAGGAAAGCACCGCAAAAAAACAUAAGCCCAACGACGCCGUUUUCUAAGCUUUCGGGGAUUUAGCGGCGUUUUUAAGAAAGCGCCGCUAAUGCUCAGGGCUUUAGCGGUGUUUUUAGGGAAGCGUCGCAAAAAAACCUAAGCCCAACGACGCCAUUUUUUGAGCUUUCGGGGAUUUAGUGGCGUUUUUAAGAAAGCGCCGCAAAAAAUCCUAAGCCCAACGACGCCGUUUUCUGAGCUUUCGGGGAUCUAGCGGCGUUUUUAAGAAAGUGCCGCUAAUGCUCAGGGCUUUAACGGCGUUUUUGAGAAAGCACCGCAAAAAAACCUAAGCCCAACGACGCCGUUUUCUGAGCUUUCG
Molecule: long non-coding RNA, 1378 nt
Filed under: Gossypium barbadense (sea-island cotton)
Lineage: Eukaryota; Viridiplantae; Streptophyta; Magnoliopsida; Malvales; Malvaceae
Description: long non-coding RNA (GBAR_LNC015354)
Source: RNAcentral